CAACACCCUAACCUUUUCGGAAUUACCUCUGUACCUGCCUGCAGUCAUCCUGCUUACAAACAAACAGAAAACAAAGCACAAAUAUUAGAUCAAAGCUCAAGUUUCCUUUGGCCAUCACCACUCAUACCUGAAGUCUACAAUCUUCGCAGAGGUGGACACUCUCAGAACUUGGGAGGAUAUUUUUCCAGAACAAUUUCUGUGCAUUCAAGCAUCCAAUCUCAAUCUCUCGCUCUCUUCCUCUCUUUCAUGCGCAUUUCUUUUCUAAAUAAAUGUUUGUGUGUCAUCCUGCACUUUGCUUGUUCCAUUCUCAGGAUGUCUUAUGUACAGUCCCCACAUCAGUAUAAAAAGAUGGUCUCAUCCUUUUUUUUUUUUUUUUUUUUNNNNUUUUUUUUUGUCUUUUUGCCAUUUCUAGGGCCGCUUCCGGGGCAUAUGGAAGUUCCCAGGCUAGGUGACCCUAGAAAAGGCAAAAAGACAACAAUAAAUAAAUAAAUAAAUAUGGACAAAUAAAAUAACGGUGUAAAUACCCUGUUCUCAUUAUCUUGUAUCAUUACACAACAAGCCACAAUUAUAAAGUCUGUAAGAACAAGAAUGUAAACCAAUAUGACUAGAAGUAACCAGAUUAAAUGUAAUGUAAGGGAUGAUGUUGUUUUGCUAAACCCAUCCAUCCCUUGUCAUAGGAAUAGAGUGGAGUUGCAUCUUCUGGGAGGGGAAGGGCUAAUGCAAGAAAAUCAGCCAGGAGUCACCCUUAAAGGUAAAUUGCUAGGGAGGCUCUCCGGAAGGAGAGGCAUCCACUCACAGACUGCAGACUCUGGCGCCCCCUACUGUGCCAACUCUGAGGGGAAGGGCCAGUGGAAUUGCUCACACAAUUGACAUGAUUCCUCUCUUCCACCCUCUGCAUUCUCUCUUCACAUUGUCUCCACAGGAUCCACUGGGAACUUUCAUCUAUUCGCCCCACUGGACUGCACCUGCCUUUCCCUAGGGCAAAGCAUUAUCUAUGGCCUCAACCUGCCUGCUUCCUCCUCAAACCCUCUGACAAUUCCAAUUCCAAUCUGCAGGACAACUUGGCCCUCCAGGCAAACCAAAGAAACACAAACCAGAGGCAGGACUGAAGUUACCCGGCAAGACUUGGCUACAAGGCUCAACUUUUCAUGGGUUCACACCCCCAGCGACAUCAUUGAGAAGUUUUAAGCAAGCCCCACACCUCAAAUCCAUUCCAGCAGAAUUUCUGGGGGUGGGACCCAUGCAGCCUUAAUUUUCAAAUCCCAUUGGGUGACUCCAAAGUGCAGUGAGGCUUGAGAACCAGUGACCUGUGAUUAACGGCUUUCAAACUCUUUGGACAUCUGCCCACAGUAAUAAACUCAGUUCCCAUCAGGACCCAGGCCCCCUUCCCACAUACAUACAAAACAGAAACAAACAUUUUUCAAAACAAUACCUGACUCUUACAUCCUGCUAUUUUCCAUUCACUCGAUUGAAAUCAAUGCCCAACUUCACCCAUUAAUGAGUCU
This 1505-nucleotide long non-coding RNA is filed under the name Sus scrofa (pig). RNAcentral describes it as "lncRNA (ENSSSCG00040051135.1)". The record is from RNAcentral. Lineage: Eukaryota; Metazoa; Chordata; Mammalia; Artiodactyla; Suidae.